RNAcentral lists this non-coding RNA (688 nucleotides) under Schistocephalus solidus. RNAcentral describes it as "Eukaryotic large subunit ribosomal RNA". It matches the Rfam family "Eukaryotic large subunit ribosomal RNA", at positions 1907 to 2300 of the family's 3401-position model. The record is from Rfam by way of RNAcentral. Lineage: Eukaryota; Metazoa; Platyhelminthes; Cestoda; Diphyllobothriidea; Diphyllobothriidae.
AGGGAAGUCGGCAUAUUUGAUCCGUAACCUCGGAAAUAGGAAAAGUUCUGAGCGCCGAUUCAGACACGCUGGGCAAAGAUUCGUGUCUGCAUAGUCUGCUACUGGCUAGUCGACUAGCUGGACUGUGGCCACAACUGCUGCUGCUGGGUUUACGCUGCCGCUUCCUUUGUGUGCCUGUUUGUGUACUGCAUGCUGCGUGCGUGCGACUUUAAAAGUAUGGCGUGGUCGGGCAACUGGCCGCGUAGCACGGUGCACGUGUGCGUGCAUGCACCUGGUCGUGGUGGGUGACUUUACGGCGUGGUUUGAACUUAACUGGUGGUCUAACUGGCUGGGAGUGGGCAGAGGGGAUUGUGGGCAGGUCCACUUAGGCCUGUCCCUUGAUUUGCGCUGCUUGUUGUUGCCGCUGCUAUUGUCGCGGUUUCGUCCACGAUGGUGGUUGCGAAAGCGGCUGUUGUGUAGCCUUGGGGCACUUUUCUGACGUCAAACGGCCGAAUGAGAACUUGCACGGUCUCGAGAAAUCUGACUGUCUUGUUUAAACAAAGCAUUGCGAUGUCUGCUGAUCGGUUUUGACAAAGUGAUUUCUGCCCAGUGCUCUGAAUUUCAAAGUGAAGAAAUUCAAACAUGCGUUGGUAAACGGCGGGAGUUACUAUGAAUCUUUUAAAGGGAAGAGUCAGCGUUCCCCUUUCCU